RNAcentral lists this transfer RNA (89 nucleotides) under Kosmotoga olearia TBF 19.5.1. RNAcentral's name for it is "tRNA-Ser (TGA) (tRNA-Ser-TGA-1-1)". It matches the Rfam family "tRNA". From Rfam's summary of the family: Transfer RNA (tRNA) molecules are approximately 80 nucleotides in length. Their secondary structure includes four short double-helical elements and three loops (D, anti-codon, and T loops). Lineage: Bacteria; Thermotogati; Thermotogota; Thermotogae; Kosmotogales; Kosmotogaceae. The record is from RNAcentral. RNAcentral also lists the same sequence under 1 other name.
GGAGGCGUAUCCUAAUUGGCUAAGGAGCCGGUCUUGAAAACCGGUGGGGUGAACGCCCCGUGUGGGUUCGAGUCCCACCGCCUCCGCCA